Long non-coding RNA from Olea europaea var. sylvestris, 1294 nucleotides. RefSeq lists it as uncharacterized. The transcript is spliced from 2 exons. The record is from RefSeq and is a predicted model, not a curated record. Lineage: Eukaryota; Viridiplantae; Streptophyta; Magnoliopsida; Lamiales; Oleaceae.
AUGGCUAAAGUAAAACGAAAAGUGCUCCAAUUUCAUUUUACUGGAAAAGAAAUAAAAGUAUAUGAGCCGAUGAAUUUUAAUACAUUAUAUUUGGCAAUCAAUGACGGAGGUCAUAUAUAUAUCUACAUCAGUGUACGAAAUUUAUUUUUUUGUCAUUUUACACAGUGGAUAAUUGACUUGUUGCAACAAUUAAUGAGUUUUGAGCAUUUUGAACGGAUCCUGGACUUCUGGGAAGAAAAAAAUGAGAAUACCAUCAUACCUAGGAUAGUCACUUAUCGUGUUUGGUUUUGAAGUAAACGAUUGCAGAGAUUGGGGAAAGGGACAAUUUUGAAUCAGUUUUCUUUCCUUGUGAUGUCAACUUAUUUGAUUUUCUAUAUGGAAUUUGUGGUUAUAUUUUGGUUAAGUGAUUAAUAUUUAUUCAUCUUCAUUAGAGAACAUGGGUGGUCAUAGAGGUAAGAAUAUGGAAACAAUGUCAUGAUCCGAUCAAAACGAACACGUUUUUAUUGGAAUACUUUACGAUAAUGUGAAACCAGGGAAGUUGCAAUGUUCUACGUUCACAAAAGACUAUUGGGACAAGAUCAAUCAAGAGAUGAUUGUUGCCACAAAAUCAGAUUACGGGAUAGAAAGAUUGAAGGGUAAGUGGAAUCGUUUGCAUAAGGUAUAUCGCUUGUUCUUUGACCUUUUAGGGCAUCCGGGUGUUACAUGGGAUCCAAAUACCAACGAAGUGGAUGCUACAGAAGAAGUUUGGCAACAUUUUUUUAUGAUAAACAAAAGCGACUAUAAGACAUUUUGGACGGGACGAAUGUAAGCAUUACGAAUUGCUUGGAGAGAUUUUUAGCAGGACUACAGCCACUGGAGGUCUAGGCCAUGCUUCUACUCAGCUUCCUCCAACUUCAGAGGAAGAAAGACGGCUAGAAGAUGAGUUUUUGAGCAAGGGAGUGCACGUACGUGUGGAGAAUGAUGACGAUGAAGUUUCUAAUCACGAGGGCACUAGUGAAAUUACUAGUCCAAAUCCUUAUUCAAAUAUGGCAUGUUUGAACAUCUUAAACAACAUGGAAGGAAUGUCUUAACGAGAUUUAUAUGAAAGCAAUAAAGGCUUUUAAGGAUCCAGAUUUCAGGAUGACAUUUAUAAUAAUACCAAAAAUUAGGAAAGGAACUAUCUUGGAACUUCUUUGAUUUGCCUAAUUGGUCGGAUUGAGUAUUUUGAACUUAUAAUGUAGGAUUGUGUUCUUUUUAUAUAUUGACUAUGAACUUUGUAAUUCUCAACAUUUACUACUAGUUUUAUUUUUAUCAA